Molecule: ribosomal RNA, 1328 nt
Filed under: uncultured organism
Description: bacterial SSU rRNA
Rfam family: Bacterial small subunit ribosomal RNA
Source: RNAcentral
CUAACACAUGCAAGUCGAGGGGUAAGGCUCUCUUCGGAGAGUACACGACCGGCGAACGGGUGCGUAACGCGUAUGCAACCUGCCUAUAUCUGGAACAUAGCCCCGAGAAAUCGGGAUUAAUUUUCCAUAAUAUCCUUUUGUGACAUCACUUUUGGAUUAAAGCUCCGGCGGAUAUAGAUGGGCAUGCGUGACAUUAGCUUGUUGGUGCGGUAACGGCGCACCAAGGCAAAGAUGUCUAGGGGGUCUGAGAGGAUGAUCCCCCACACUGGUACUGAGACACGGACCAGACUCCUACGGGAGGCAGCAGUGAGGAAUAUUGCGCAAUGGAGGAAACUCUGACGCAGCCAUGCCGCGUGAAGGAUGACGGCCCUAUGGGUUGUAAACUUCUUUUCUGCUUCAAGAAACAGUCGUACGUGUACGGCUUUGACGGUAGAGCAGGAAUAAGCAUCGGCUAACUCCGUGCCAGCAGCCGCGGUAAUACGGAGGAUGCAAGCGUUAUCCGGAUUCAUUGGGUAUAAAGCGUGCGCAGGCGGGUGGGUAAGUCAGAGGUGAAAGCCCGCAGCUUAACUGUGGAAUUGCCUUUGAUACUGCUCACCUUGAGUCCAGCUGAGGUAGGCGGAAUGUAGUAUGUAGCGGUGAAAUGCUUAGAUAUACUACAGAACACCGAUUGCGAAGGCAGCUUACCAAACUGGCACUGACGCUCAGGCACGAAAGCGUGGGGAGCGAACAGGAUUAGAUACCCCGGUAGUCCGCGCUGUAAACGUUGUGUACUAGGUGUUAGUGGCUUGUCCUCUAGUACCGAAGCUAACGCAUUAAGUACACCGCCUGGGGAGUACGCCCGCAAGGGUGAAACUCAAAGAAAUUGACGGGGGCCCGCACAAGCGGUGGAGCAUGUGGUUUAAUUCGAUGAUACGCGAAGAACCUUACCUGGGCUUGAACUGUACCCGACAGGUGUAGAGAUACACCCUCCUUCGGGCGGGUAUAGAGGUGCUGCAUGGUUGUCGUCAGCUCGUGUCGUGAGAUGUUGGGUUAAGUCCCGCAACGAGCGCAACCCUUACCCCUUGUUGCCAUCAGGUAAUGCUGAGCACUCUAGGGGAACUGCCGGUGACAAACCGGAGGAAGGUGGGGAUGACGUCAAAUCGUCACGGCCCUUAUGUCCAGGGCUACACACGUGCUACAAUGGCCGGUACAAAGAGUUGCGAUACCGCGAGGUGGAGCUAAUCUCAAAAAACCGGUCUCAGUUCAGAUUGUAGUCUGCAACUCGACUGCAUGAAGCUGGAAUCGCUAGUAAUCGCGGAUCAGCACGCCGCGGUGAUACGUUCCCGGGC